AAAGUGGCAGCCCGCCGCGCUGCUCAGCCCCUGGGGUCCCUCACCCCACUCAGGCAGACGACAGCCAGAGUGGGUCAAAGUGGCAACCCGCCGCGCAGCUCAGCCCUGGGGGCCCAACCCUGACUCAGGCGGCAGACCACCAGAAUGGUGAAAGUGGCAGCCCGCUGCGCUGCCCAGCCCGGGCGGGCCCCCCUCUACUCAGGCGGCCGACAGCCAGACUGGGUCAAAGUGGCAGCCCGCCGUGCUGCUCAUCCCUGGGGGACCCACGCCCACUCAGGCGGCCGACCGCAAGUGUUAGUCAAAGUGGCAGCCCGCUGCGCUGCUCAGCCCUGGGG
Molecule: long non-coding RNA, 335 nt
Filed under: Equus caballus (horse)
Lineage: Eukaryota; Metazoa; Chordata; Mammalia; Perissodactyla; Equidae
Description: lncRNA (ENSECAG00000041615.2)
Source: RNAcentral